This 508-nucleotide ribosomal RNA is filed under the name Platycnemis foliacea. RNAcentral's name for it is "partial 16S rRNA". It matches the Rfam family "Archaeal large subunit ribosomal RNA", at positions 1923 to 2666 of the family's 2987-position model. The record is from RNAcentral. Lineage: Eukaryota; Metazoa; Arthropoda; Insecta; Odonata; Platycnemididae.
GUCCUCUUGUUUAUUUUGGAGGUCUGACCUGCCCAGUGAAAUUUUUAACGGCCGCGGUAUUUUGACCGUGCAAAGGUAGCAUAAUCAUUAGUCUUUUAAUAGGGGGCUGGAAUGAAGGGUUUAACGAAUCAUUAGCUGUCUCAUUUUUAUAACUUAAAACUUAAUUUUUAAGUUAAAAAGCUUAAAUGGUAUUGAAGGACGAGAAGACCCUAUAGAGCUUUAUAUUAUAUUUUUUAAUGAAUUGUUGAUUUAUAUUUAUUUAUUAUAAUAAUUUAAUAUUUUGUUGGGGUGACAGAAAUAAAUAAUUAACUUUUUUAUUCUUUAAACAUAAAUUUAUGAACUUUUGAUCCAUUAUUAUUGAUUGUUAGAUUAAGUUACCUUAGGGAUAACAGCGUAAUCUUUUUUUGGAGUUCAAAUUUACAAAAAGGCUUGCGACCUCGAUGUUGGAUUAAGAUUAUAGUUUGGUGUAGUAGCUAAAUUAAUAGGUCUGUUCGACCUUUAAAUUCUU